CGGUUAAGUUAGAAAGGGCGCACGGUGGAUGCCUUGGCACUAGGAGCCGAUGAAGGACGGGACGAACACCGAUAUGCUUCGGGGAGCUGUAAGCAAGCUUUGAUCCGGAGAUUUCCGAAUGGGGAAACCCACCACUCGUAAUGGAGUGGUAUCCAUAUCUGAAUACAUAGGAUAUGAGAAGGCAGACCCGGGGAACUGAAACAUCUAAGUACCCGGAGGAAGAGAAAGCAAAUGCGAUUCCCUGAGUAGCGGCGAGCGAAACGGGACCAGCCCAAACCAAGAGGCUUGCCUCUUGGGGUUGUAGGACACUCUGUACGGAGUUACAAAGGAACGAGGUAGAUGAAGAGGUCUGGAAAGGCCCGCCAUAGGAGGUAACAGCCCUGUAGUCAAAACUUCGUUCUCUCCUGAGUGGAUCCUGAGUACGGCGGAACACGUGAAAUUCCGUCGGAAUCUGGGAGGACCAUCUCCCAAGGCUAAAUACUCCCUAGUGAUCGAUAGUGAACCAGUACCGUGAGGGAAAGGUGAAAAGCACCCCGGAAGGGGAGUGAAAGAGAUCCUGAAACCGUGUGCCUACAAGUAGUCAGAGCCCGUUAACGGGUGAUGGCGUGCCUUUUGUAGAAUGAACCGGCGAGUUACGAUCCCGUGCAAGGUUAAGCAGAAGAUGCGGAGCCGCAGCGAAAGCGAGUCUGAAUAGGGCGAAUUGAGUACGUGGUCGUAGACCCGAAACCAGGUGAUCUACCCAUGUCCAGGGUGAAGUUCAGGUAACACUGAAUGGAGGCCCGAACCCACGCACGUUGAAAAGUGCGGGGAUGAGGUGUGGGUAGGGGUGAAAUGCCAAUCGAACCUGGAGAUAGCUGGUUCUCUCCGAAAUAGCUUUAGGGCUAGCCUCAAGGUAAGAGUCUCGGAGGUAGAGCACUGAUUGGACUAGGGGCCCCUACCGGGUUACCGAAUUCAGUCAAACUCCGAAUGCCGAUGACUUAUCCUUGGGAGUCAGACUGCGAGUGAUAAGAUCCGUAGUCGAAAGGGAAACAGCCCAGACCGCCAGCUAAGGUCCCAAAGUAUACGUUAAGUGGAAAAGGAUGUGGAGUUGCUUAGACAACCAGGAUGUUGGCUUAGAAGCAGCCACCAUUUAAAGAGUGCGUAAUAGCUCACUGGUCGAGUGACUCUGCGCCGAAAAUGUACCGGGGCUAAACGUAUCACCGAAGCUGCGGACUGUUCUUCGAACAGUGGUAGGAGAGCGUUCUAAGGGCUGUGAAGCAAGACCGGAAGGACUUGUGGAGCGCUUAGAAGUGAGAAUGCCGGUAUGAGUAGCGAAAGAGGGGUGAGAAUCCCCUCCACCGAAUGCCUAAGGUUUCCUGAGGAAGGCUCGUCCGCUCAGGGUUAGUCGGGACCUAAGCCGAGGCCGAAAGGCGUAGGCGAUGGAUAACAGGUUGAUAUUCCUGUACCACCUCCUCACCAUUUGAGCAAUGGGGGGACGCAGGAGGAUAGGGUAAGCGCGGUAUUGGAUAUCCGCGUCCAAGCAGUUAGGCUGGGAAAUAGGCAAAUCCGUUUCCCGUGAAGGCUGAGCUGUGAUGGCGAGCGAAUUAUAGUAGCGAAGUUCCUGAUUCCACACUGCCAAGAAAAGCCUCUAGCGAGGUGAGAGGUGCCCGUACCGCAAACCGACACAGGUAGGCGAGGAGAGAAUCCUAAGGUGAUCGAGAGAACUCUCGUUAAGGAACUCGGCAAAAUGACCCCGUAACUUCGGGAGAAGGGGUGCUCUGUUAGGGUGCAAGCCCGAGAGAGCCGCAGUGAAUAGGCCCAGGCGACUGUUUAGCAAAAACACAGGUCUCUGCGAAGCCGUAAGGCGAAGUAUAGGGGCUGACGCCUGCCCGGUGCUGGAAGGUUAAGAGGAGCGCUUAGCGUAAGCGAAGGUGCGAAUUGAAGCCCCAGUAAACGGCGGCCGUAACUAUAACGGUCCUAAGGUAGCGAAAUUCCUUGUCGGGUAAGUUCCGACCCGCACGAAAGGCGCAACGAUCUGGGCACUGUCUCAACGAGAGACUCGGUGAAAUUAUAGUACCUGUGAAGAUGC
This 2068-nucleotide ribosomal RNA is filed under the name Clavibacter michiganensis. RNAcentral's name for it is "bacterial LSU rRNA". It matches the Rfam family "Bacterial large subunit ribosomal RNA", at positions 1 to 2062 of the family's 2925-position model. The record is from RNAcentral. Lineage: Bacteria; Bacillati; Actinomycetota; Actinomycetes; Micrococcales; Microbacteriaceae.